UGGCUCAGGAUGAACGCUGGCGGCGUGCCUAACACAUGCAAGUCGAACGGAGUAUUUAGAGCUUGCUUUGAAUACUUAGUGGCGGACGGGUGAGUAAUGUAUGAGCAACCUGCCUUUCAGAGGGGGACAACAGUUGGAAACGACUGCUAAUACCGCGUAACGUAUGACGGGGGCAUCCCUGACAUACCAAAGGAGCAAUCCGCUGAAAGAUGGGCUCAUAUCUGAUUAGCUAGUUGGUGAGGUAACGGCUCACCAAGGCUGCGAUCAGUAGCCGGACUGAGAGGUUGAACGGCCACAUUGGGACUGAGAUACGGCCCAGACUCCUACGGGAGGCAGCAGUGGGGAUA
Molecule: ribosomal RNA, 347 nt
Filed under: uncultured rumen bacterium
Lineage: Bacteria
Description: bacterial SSU rRNA
Rfam family: Bacterial small subunit ribosomal RNA
Source: RNAcentral